Molecule: ribosomal RNA, 253 nt
Filed under: uncultured bacterium
Lineage: Bacteria
Description: partial 16S ribosomal RNA
Rfam family: Bacterial small subunit ribosomal RNA
Source: RNAcentral
UACAGAGGGUGCAAGCAUUGUUCGGAAUUACUGGGCGUAAAGCGCGUGUAGGCGGCGGCGUAAGUCGGGUGUGAAAUCCCUCAGCUCAACUGAGGAAGUGCACUCGAUACUGUGUCGCUUGAAUGUCGGAGGGGAUGGCGGAAUUCCCGGUGUAGAGGUGAAAUUCGUAGAUAUCGGGAGGAACACCUGUGGCGAAGGCGGCCAUCUGGACGACGAUUGACGCUGAGACGCGAAAGCGUGGGUAGCAAACAGG